GAUGAAGAACGUAGCGAAAUCCGAUAAGUAAUGCGAAUUGCAGAAUUUCCGUGAGUCAUCGAAUCUUUGAACGCACAUUGCGCCCACUGGUAUUCCGGUGGGCAUGCCUGUUCGAGCGUCAUUAUCCUCCCUCAAACCCCGGGUUUGGUGUUGGACCCAAGUUGUGUGAACAACUGGUCUCAAAGACAAUGACGGCGUCCGUGGGACCCUCGGUGCAACGAGCUUUUAGGAGCACGCAUCGAGUUGCAAGGACCUUCCGGGCCGGUCUCCUUUACCAUUUUACAAGGUUGACCUCGGAUCAGGUAGGAAUACCCGCUGAACUUAAGCAUAUCAAUAAGCGGAGGA
RNAcentral lists this unclassified non-coding RNA (345 nucleotides) under soil metagenome. RNAcentral describes it as "partial contains 5.8S ribosomal RNA, internal transcribed spacer 2, and large subunit ribosomal RNA". The stretch from base 1 to 121 matches the Rfam family "5.8S ribosomal RNA", at positions 35 to 154 of the family's 154-position model. The record is from RNAcentral.